GACGAACGCUGGCGGCGUGCUUAACACAUGCAAGUCGAACGGGCCUGUCUUCUUUUUUGGGGGUGGGUUGAGUGGCGAACGGGUGAGUAUCACGUGAGUAACCUGCCCUUCGGUCCUGGAUAACCGCUUGAAAGGGCGUCUAAUACGGGGUGGUCCGGUUGGUCCGCAUGGGCUGGUCGGGAUAGAUUCACUGUUUUUGGUGUUUCGGCGGGGGAUGGGCUCGCGGCCUAUCAGCUUGUUGGUGGGGUGAUGGCCUACCAAGGCGGUGACGGGUAGCCGGCCUGAGAGGGUGGGCGGCCACACUGGGACUGAGAUACGGCCCAGACUCCUGCGGGAGGCAGCAGUGGGGGGUAUUGCACAAUGGGCGGAAGCCUGAUGCAGCGACGUCGCGUGAGGGAUGGAGGCCUUCGGGUUGUGAACCUCUGUUUCCGGUGGUGAAGGCCCUGUCCGUGUGGUGGGGUUGACGGUAGCCGGGGAUGAAGCGCCGGCUAACUACGUG
Molecule: ribosomal RNA, 499 nt
Filed under: uncultured bacterium
Lineage: Bacteria
Description: partial 16S ribosomal RNA
Rfam family: Bacterial small subunit ribosomal RNA
Source: RNAcentral